Molecule: ribosomal RNA, 495 nt
Filed under: uncultured bacterium
Lineage: Bacteria
Description: partial 16S ribosomal RNA
Rfam family: Bacterial small subunit ribosomal RNA
Source: RNAcentral
GACGAACGCUGGCGGCGUGCCUAAUACAUGCAAGUAGAACGCUGAAGGAGGAGCUUGCUUCUCUGGAUGAGUUGCGAACGGGUGAGUAACGCGUAGGUAACCUGCCUGGUAGCGGGGGAUAACUAUUGGAAACGAUAGCUAAUACCGCAUAAUAGUAGAUGUUGCAUGACAUUUGCUUAAAAGGUGCAAUUUCAUCACUACCAGAUGGACCUGCGUUGUAUUAGCUAGUUGGUGGGGUAACGGCUCACCAAGGCGACGAUACAUAGCCGACCUGAGAGGGUGAUCGGCCAAACUGGGACUGAGACACGGCCCAGACUCCUACGGGAGGCAGCAGUAGGGAAUCUUCGGCAAUGGACGGAAGUCUGAACGAGCAACGCCGCGUGAGUGAAGAAGGUUUUCGGAUCGUAAAGCUCUGUUGUAAGAGAAGAACGAGUGUGAGAGUGGAAAGUUCACACUGUGACGGUAUCUUACCAGAAAGGGACGGCUAACUACGUG